CGAUCGCAAGAUUAAAACUCAAAGGAAUUGACGGGGCCCCGCACAAGCAGCGGAGCAUGCGGCUUAAUUCGACGCAACGCGAAGAACCUUACCAAGGCUUGACAUAUACAGGAAUAUGGCAGAGAUGUCAUAGCGGUAAAACGUCUGUAUACAGGUGGUGCAUGGUUGUCGUCAGCUCGUGUCGUGAGAUGUUGGGUUAAGUCCCGCAACGAGCGCAACCCUCGUUCUGUGUUGCCAGCAUUUAGUUGGGGACUCACAGGAGACUGCCGGGGUUAACUCGGAGGAAGGUGGGGAUGACGUCAAAUCAUCAUGCCCCUUAUGUCUAGGGCUGCACGCAUGCUACAAUGGCUGGUACAAAGGGCUGCGAUACCGCGAGGUGGAGCGAAUCCCAAAAAGCCAGUCUCAGUUCGGAUUGGGGUCUGCAACUCGACCCCAUGAAGUCGGAGUCGCUAGUAAUCGCAGAUCAGCAACGCUGCGGUGAAUACGUUCCCGGGCCUUGUACACACCGCCCGUCACGUCACGAAAGUCG
Molecule: ribosomal RNA, 529 nt
Filed under: uncultured Actinomycetes bacterium
Lineage: Bacteria; Bacillati; Actinomycetota; Actinomycetes
Description: bacterial SSU rRNA
Rfam family: Bacterial small subunit ribosomal RNA
Source: RNAcentral